GUGCUUGCUUUGGCAGCACAUAUACUAAAAUUGGAAUGAUAAAGAGAAGAUCAGCAUGGCCCCUGCGCAAAUGAUGACAUGCAAAUUAGAGAAGUGAAAUAUUUCCAC
This is a small nuclear RNA of Dromiciops gliroides (monito del monte), 108 nucleotides long. The record is from RefSeq and is a predicted model, not a curated record. NCBI's taxonomy places the organism in Eukaryota, Metazoa, Chordata, Mammalia, Microbiotheria, Microbiotheriidae.